GAUGAAGAACGUAGCGAAAUGCGAUAAGUAGUGUGAAUUGCAGAAUUCAGUGAAUCAUCGAAUCUUUGAACGCACAUUGCGCCCUUUGGUAUUCCAAAGGGCAUGCCUGUUCGAGCGUCAUUUACCCCCUCAAGCUCCGCUUGGUGUUGGGCGUCUGUCCCGCUUCGCGCGCGGACUCGCCCCAAAGGUAUUGGCAGCGGUCGUGCCAGCUUCUCGCGCAGCACAUUGCGCUUCUCGAGGCACCGGUGGGCCCGCGUCCAUCAAGCUCACCCCCCCAGUUUGACCUCGGAUCAGGUAGGGAUACCCGCUGAACUUAAGCAUAUCAAUAAGCGGAGGA
Molecule: unclassified non-coding RNA, 337 nt
Filed under: soil metagenome
Description: partial contains 5.8S ribosomal RNA, internal transcribed spacer 2, and large subunit ribosomal RNA
Rfam family: 5.8S ribosomal RNA (bases 1-120)
Source: RNAcentral